RNAcentral lists this ribosomal RNA (443 nucleotides) under uncultured bacterium. RNAcentral's name for it is "partial 16S ribosomal RNA". It matches the Rfam family "Bacterial small subunit ribosomal RNA", at positions 338 to 795 of the family's 1533-position model. The record is from RNAcentral.
ACUACGGGCGGCAGCAGUGGGGAAUAUUGGGCAAUGGGCGCAAGCCUGACCCAGCAACGCCGCGUGAAGGAAGAAGGCUUUCGGGUUGUAAACUUCUUUUCUCAGGGACGAAGAAGGUGACGGUACCUGAGGAAUAAGCCACGGCCAACUACGUGCCAGCAGCCGCGGUAAUACGUAGGCGGCAAGCGUGAUCCGGAUUUAUUGGGUGGAAAGGGCGUGUAGGCGGGAGCGCAACUCAGUUGUGAAAACUCAGGGCUCAACCCUGGGACUGCAUUUGAAACUGUGUUUCUUGAGUGCGGGAGAGGCAAGCGGAAUUCCGGGUGUAGCGGUGAAAUGCGUAGAUAUACGGAGGAACACCAGUGGCGAAGGCGGAUUGCUGGACAGUAACUGACGCUGAGGCGCGAAAGCGUGGGGAGCAAACAGGAUUAGAUACCCGAGUAGUC